Molecule: long non-coding RNA, 1246 nt
Filed under: Homo sapiens (human)
Lineage: Eukaryota; Metazoa; Chordata; Mammalia; Primates; Hominidae
Description: long non-coding RNA NONHSAT208401.1
Source: RNAcentral
GCCAAACGGAACUCCUCACCCAACUGCUGCAAUAGUUCCUCCAGGGCCCGAAGCUGGUUUAAUCUAUACACCCUAUGAGUACCCCUACACAUUGGCACCAGCUACAUCAAUCCUUGAGUAUCCUAUUGAACCUAGUGGUGUAUUAGGUGCGGUGGCUACUAAAGUUCGAAGGCACGAUAUGCGUGUCCAUCCUUACCAAAGGAUUGUGACCGCAGACCGAGCCGCCACCGGCAACUAACCUAUGACCUUCUGACCUCUGAACUCUUCACCCAAUGAUGACCUGACCAUGCCUGCCUGCUGAUCAGUUAACUGGUAAUCGCCUUUGCUUGCCUGUCGUCAGUGCAGCGAGCUGAGGCACUUGUCCGUUCGUCUUACCAUCUAACCAAACAAAAGACAAAGAAAUUGUUGUCCUCCAACUCAGCUUUUUUUUUUUUUUUUUCCUGUUUGGGUGAAAGUGGUUCUAGAAACUGCACUGAAUAGUAGUAAAGCAAUAAGGCCCAAUUCAUCCCACAGCACUGAUCAUCUUUUAAUAUCCCACCCUAAGCGAACGGUAAGAAGGCCUCUCUUAAGAAGGGGAGACAGAUGGUCCUUAACUACUCAAUGACAGAGGCAGUUACUGUGAGAGACUUCUAGGAAUCUUUUUCUUCUCAUAGCGAAGUCAAAGCUCUCUCUGAAUGUACUGUGUGAUGAUGCAUCAUGCAUGAACCUUCGGUCAGGGAUAUCAUUGGUGAAGUGAUUUCAAAAAGUAUUCAAAAUUUGAUAUGCUGUUUAGUCACUACAGUGCCCUCAAAGGGCAGAAGUUGCAGCCUUUUUUAUAUUGCCUGCCAAAAUUUGAAGUAUUAGAAGAAAGUGUGCCAUGAGAGAAAAACUUAAGGAGUUUUGAAAAGUAAUGCAAAUAACAAAACUGCAACACUAUUUUUAAAAAGAUAAAUAUCUGAGUUAAAAUUACUGAAUCUUUAUUUUACACCUAAAAAAAUAUGAGAACAAGGUACAUGCAUUAUGUGUCACAUUACUGGGCAAACUGUUCAAGUAUUUUUUUUUAAACCUCCCUGUAUAGAAAAAAAUCAUUAAGGAUGUAAAAGCCAUGCUUGCCUAUUUGCUGUAUACAUGUAAUGAAAUUGUAGAUAAAGUGUAGUGCAUUGAAACAAAUGAACAAAAAGUAGAUACUUUUACUAUACAAGGGUGCUGGUGCAGAAAAAAAUAUAUAUAUUUUUGGAAAUGUAGCAUUUUAUACUUUCAAGUGUUA